UAGUGUGGUUGAGCACAGAGAAUAAAAGGAAAUGAGAUGAGACUGAGGCAAAAUAAAUAGCAGGGUCCAGAUCAUGCACAACCUGUGUGUUAUAUUAAAGAUUUUGAAAUCUAUUCCAAGGGAAGUCACUGAAGGACUUUAAACUGAGAACAUGCACGGUCCUAUUUGUGUUUGAACAAGAACAUUCUAGCCAUAGCAUGAAGAAGGGCCAAAGUGAAUGCAAGGAGGCCAGAGAAGUUAGCUGUUGAAGAAGUCCAGGCAAGAGAUGAUGAUGGCUUGGACUGCAGUGGCAGCAGUAGGGAUGAAAAGAAGUGGACAGAUUUAGCCGGGCGCGGUGGCUCACGCCUGUAAUCCCAGCACUUUGGGAGGCCAAGGUGGGCGGAUCACCUGAGGUCGGGAGAUCGAGACCAGCUUUAUCCGCAAGGAGAAACCCUGUCUCUACUAAAAAUACAAAAAUUAGCUGGGCAUGGUGGUGCAUGCCUGUCAUCCCAGCUACUCGGGAGGCUGAGGCAGGAGAAUCGCUUGAACUUGGGAGGCAGAGGUUGUGGUGAGCCAAGAUUGUCCAUUGCACUCCAGCCUGGGCAACAAGAAAGAAACUCCGUCUCAAAAAAAAAAAGAAAGAAAAAAGAAAAAAGGAGUGGACAGAUUUGAGAGUGAGUGAUCUAGGAGGUGGAAAUGACGGAAGCUAGUGACUGAUCUUUUAUGGGUGUGUGUGUGUGUAUGUGAGAGAGAGGGAGUAGUCAAGUGGACUUUUAGUUCUCUGGUUUGAGCAGCUGGGUGGAUAGUAUUUCCUUACAGACACUGGGAGCACUAGAGGAUGAGGAAGUUGAUGGUAAAAGGUGAUAAGUUCUGUAUGAGACAUGUUCAAUUUAAGGUGUCUAUGAGAUUUCCUGAAUACGCAGGACUGAAGUUCAGAAGGCAAGUCUGGCCAGAAGGUGUGGACUUAAGAGUUCCAAGAUUUUUUUUUUUUUUUUUUUGAGACAGAGGCUUGCUCUGUCACCCAGACUGGAGUUCAGUGGCACAAUCUUGGAUCACUGCAACCUCUGCUUCCAGGGUUCAAGCAAUUCUCAUGCCUUAGCUGCCCCACUCUCACCCCCAGUAGCUGGGAUUACAGGUGCAUGCCACCACGCCCAGCUUUUUUUUUGUGUGUGUGUGAUGUAGUCUUGCACUGUUGUUCAGGCUGGAGUGCAAUGGUGCGAUCUCAGCUCACUGCAACCUCCACCUCCCAGGUUCAAGCGAUUCUCCUGCCUCAGCCUCCUGAGUAGCUAGGAUUACAGGUGCCCACCAUGCCCAGCUAAUUUUUGUAUUUUUAGUAAGAUGGGGUUUCACCAUGUUGGCCAGGCUGGUCUCAAACUCCUGACCUCAGGUGAUCCGCCCACCUCGGCCUCCCAAAGUGCUGGGGUUAUAGGCAUGAGCCACCGCACCUAGCCCUAAUUUUUGUAUUUUUAGUAGAGACAGGGUUUCACCAUGUUGGCCAGGCUGGUCUUGAACUUCUGGUCUCAAGUGAUCUGCCCACCUUGGCCUCCCAAAGUGCUGGGAUUACAGGCAUGAGGCACUGCA
This 1560-nucleotide long non-coding RNA is filed under the name Homo sapiens (human). Its description in RNAcentral is "non-protein coding lnc-PPT1-2:1". Lineage: Eukaryota; Metazoa; Chordata; Mammalia; Primates; Hominidae. The record is from RNAcentral.